This 346-nucleotide ribosomal RNA is filed under the name Salinicoccus sp. UA-AR0120. RNAcentral's name for it is "bacterial SSU rRNA". It matches the Rfam family "Bacterial small subunit ribosomal RNA", at positions 56 to 390 of the family's 1533-position model. The record is from RNAcentral. Lineage: Bacteria; Bacillati; Bacillota; Bacilli; Caryophanales; Staphylococcaceae.
UGCAAGUCGAACGCGCGGAUCAGGAGCUUGCUCCUGUGACGCGAGUGGCGGACGGGUGAGUAACACGUAGGCAACCUGCCCAUCAGACUGGGAUAACCACGGGAAACCGUGGCUAAUACCGGAUAAUCCUUUCCCACACAAGUGGGAAAGUUGAAAGGCGGCUUCGGCUGUCACUGAUGGAUGGGCCUGCGGCGCAUUAGCUGGUUGGUGGGGUAACGGCCCACCAAGGCGACGAUGCGUAGCCGACCUGAGAGGGUGAUCGGCCACACUGGGACUGAGACACGGCCUAGACUCCUACGGGAGGCAGCAGUAGGGAAUCUUCCGCAAUGGACGAAAGUCUGACGGA